RNAcentral lists this ribosomal RNA (431 nucleotides) under uncultured bacterium. Its description in RNAcentral is "bacterial SSU rRNA". It matches the Rfam family "Bacterial small subunit ribosomal RNA", at positions 958 to 1392 of the family's 1533-position model. The record is from RNAcentral.
AACGCGAAGAACCUUACCAAGGCUUGACAUAUAGCGAAAAGUGGCAGAGAUGUCAUGUCCGCAAGGGCGCUAUACAGGUGGUGCAUGGUUGUCGUCAGCUCGUGUCGUGAGAUGUUGGGUUAAGUCCCGCAACGAGCGCAACCCUCGUUCUGUGUUACCAGCAUUAAGUUGGGGACUCACAGGAGACUGCCGGGGUCAACUCGGAGGAAGGUGGGGAUGACGUCAAAUCAUCAUGCCCCUUAUGUCUUGGGCUGCACGCAUGCUACAAUGGCCGGUACAAAGUGCUGCGAGAUCGUAAGAUUGAGCGAAUCACAUAAAGCCGGUCUCAGUUCGGAUUGAGGUCUGCAACUCGACCUCAUGAAGUCGGAGUUGCUAGUAAUCGUAGAUCAGCAACGCUACGGUGAAUACGUUCCCGGGUCUUGUACACACCG